AUUGAACGCUGGCGGCAGGCCUAACACAUGCAAGUCGAGCGGAUGAAGGGAGCUUGCUCCUGGAUUCAGCGGCGGACGGGUGAGUAAUGCCUAGGAAUCUGCCUGGUAGUGGGGGAUAACGUCCGGAAACGGGCGCUAAUACCGCAUACGUCCUGAUGGAGCAAGUGGGGGAUCUUCGGACCUCACGCUAUCAGAUGAGCCUAGGUCGGAUUAGCUAGUUGGUGGGGUAAAGGCCUACCAAGGCGACGAUCCGUAACUGGUCUGAGAGGAUGAUCAGUCACACUGGAACGGAGACACGGUCCAGACUCCUACGGGAGGCAGCAGUGGGGAAUAUUGGACAAUGGGCGAAAGCCUGAUCCAGCCAUGCCGCGUGUGUGAAGAAGGUCUUCGGAUUGUAAAGCACUUUAAGUUGGGAGGAAGGGCAGUAAGUUAAUACCUUGCUGUUUUGACGUUACCAACAGAAUAAGCACCGGCUAACUUCGUG
This 484-nucleotide ribosomal RNA is filed under the name uncultured bacterium. RNAcentral describes it as "partial 16S ribosomal RNA". It matches the Rfam family "Bacterial small subunit ribosomal RNA", at positions 30 to 507 of the family's 1533-position model. The record is from RNAcentral.